CCUACGGGCGGCAGCAGUGAGGAAUAUUGGUCAAUGGUCGCGAGACUGAACCAGCCAAGCCGCGUGAGGGAGGAAUGUACAGAGUAUUGUAAACCUCUUUUGUAAAGGAACAAAGACAGGGACGCGUCCCCGGAUGAGUGUACCUGAUGAAAAAGCAUCGGCUAACUCCGUGCCAGCAGCCGCGGUAAUACGGAGGAUUCGAGCGUUAUCCGGAUUUAUUGGGUUUAAAGGGUGCGGAGGUGGGUUGUUAAGUCAGUGGUUAAAGCUUGGGGCUCAACCCUAGAACUGCAGUUGAUACUGGCAGUUUUGAGUACGGGUGAGGUAGGCGGAAUGCGCGGUGUAGCGGUGAAAUGCAUAGAUAUCACGAAGAACUCCGAUUGCGAAGGCAGCAUACUGAACUGCCACUGACGCUGAGGCACGAAAGUGUGGGUAUCGAACAGGAUUAGAUACCCGAGUAGUC
RNAcentral lists this ribosomal RNA (460 nucleotides) under uncultured bacterium. RNAcentral's name for it is "partial 16S ribosomal RNA". It matches the Rfam family "Bacterial small subunit ribosomal RNA", at positions 338 to 795 of the family's 1533-position model. The record is from RNAcentral.